RNAcentral lists this ribosomal RNA (425 nucleotides) under uncultured bacterium. RNAcentral describes it as "partial 16S ribosomal RNA". It matches the Rfam family "Bacterial small subunit ribosomal RNA", at positions 354 to 796 of the family's 1533-position model. The record is from RNAcentral.
GUGGGGGAUAUUGCACAAUGGAGGAAACUCUGAUGCAGCGACGCCGCGUGAGUGAAGAAGUAUUUCGGUAUGUAAAGCUCUAUCAGCAGGGAAGAUAAUGACAGUACCUGACUAAGAAGCCCCGGCUAACUACGUGCCAGCAGCCGCUGUAAUACGUAGGGGGCAAGCGUUAUCCGGAUUUACUGGGUGUAAAGGGAGCGUAGACGGAAUGGCAAGUCUGAAGUGAAAUCCUGCGGCUUAACUGCAGAAUUGCUUUGGAAACUGUCAAUCUGGAGUGUUGGAGAGGUAAGCGGAAUUCCUGGUGUAGCGGUGAAAUGCGUAGAUAUCAGGAAGAACACCUGAGGCGAAGGUGGCUUACUGGACAAUAACUGACGUUGAGGCUCGCAAGCGUGGGAAGCAAACAGGAUUAGAAACCCUUGUAGUCC